AACGAACGCUGGCGGCAGGCCUAACACAUGCAAGUCGAACGAUAAGCCACCUUCGGGUGGUGGACAGUGGCAGACGGGUGAGUAACGCGUGGGAACGUGCCUUUCGGUUCGGGAUAACCCAGGGAAACUUGGGCUAAUACCGGAUACGCCCUUCGGGGGAAAGAUUCAUUGCCGAAAGAUCGGCCCGCGUCGGAUUAGCUAGUUGGUGGGGUAAUGGCCUACCAAGGCGACGAUCCGUAGCUGGUCUGAGAGGAUGACCAGCCACACUGGGACUGAGACACGGCCCAGACUCCUACGGGAGGCAGCAGUGGGGAAUAUUGGACAAUGGGCGAAAGCCUGAUCCAGCCAUGCCGCGUGGGUGAAGAAGGCCUUAGGGUUGUAAACCCCUUUCAGCGGGGACGAUAAUGACGGUACCCGCAGAAGAAGUCCCGGCUAACUCCGUGCCAGCCGCCGCCGUAA
Molecule: ribosomal RNA, 459 nt
Filed under: uncultured bacterium
Lineage: Bacteria
Description: partial 16S ribosomal RNA
Rfam family: Bacterial small subunit ribosomal RNA
Source: RNAcentral